GAGCGGUAGAGAGGUGCUUGCACCUCUUGAGAGCGGCGGACGGGUGAGUAAUGCCUAGGAAUCUGCCUGGUAGUGGGGGAUAACGCUCGGAAACGGACGCUAAUACCGCAUACGUCCUACGGGAGAAAGCAGGGGACCUUCGGGCCUUGCGCUAUCAGAUGAGCCUAGGUCGGAUUAGCUAGUUGGUGGGGUAAUGGCUCACCAAGGCGACGAUCCGUAACUGGUCUGAGAGGAUGAUCAGUCACACUGGAACUGAGACACGGUCCAGACUCCUACGGGAGGCAGCAGUGAGGAAUAUUGCGCAAUGGGCGAAAGCCUGACGCAGCGACGCCGCGUGGAGGAUGACGGUCUUAGGAUUGUAAACUCCUGUUAAGCGGGAAGAAAGGUGCCUGUCUAAUAAAUAGGGAAGAUGAC
This 414-nucleotide ribosomal RNA is filed under the name uncultured Gammaproteobacteria bacterium. Its description in RNAcentral is "bacterial SSU rRNA". It matches the Rfam family "Bacterial small subunit ribosomal RNA", at positions 64 to 473 of the family's 1533-position model. Lineage: Bacteria; Pseudomonadati; Pseudomonadota; Gammaproteobacteria. The record is from RNAcentral.